GACGAACGCUGGCGGCGUGCCUAAUACAUGCAAGUAGAACGCAGUUGCCAACGGGUGAGUAACUCGUAGGUAUCUGCCUCCUUCCGGGGGAUAACUAUUGGAACCGAUAGCUAAUCCCGCAUACUGUGAGAUGGCCCUGCGUUGUAUUAGCUAGUUGGUGAGGUAAAGGCUCACCAAGCCGACGAAACAUAGCCGACCUGAGAGGGUGAGCUGCAACACUGGGACUGGGACACGGACCAGACUCAGACGGGAGGCAGCAGUAGGGAUUCGUAGGAUAUGGAAGGAAGUCUGACCGAGCAACGCCGAGGGAGUGAAGAAGAUUUUCGGAUCGUAAAGCUCUGUUGUGUGAGAAGCUGUAACUAACCAGAAAGGGACGGCUAACUACGUGCCAGCAGCCGCGGUAAUAC
RNAcentral lists this ribosomal RNA (407 nucleotides) under uncultured bacterium. Its description in RNAcentral is "partial 16S ribosomal RNA". It matches the Rfam family "Bacterial small subunit ribosomal RNA", at positions 28 to 526 of the family's 1533-position model. The record is from RNAcentral.